UACGUAGGGUGCAGGCGUUACUCGGAAUUACUGGGCGUAAAGCGUGCGCAGGCGGUCUUUUAAGUCAGAUGUGAAAUCCCCGGGCUCAACCCGGGAACUGCGUCCGAUACUGGCGGGCUUGAAUCCGGGAGAGGGAUGCGGAAUUCCAGGUGUAGCGGUGAAAUGCGUAGAUAUCUGGAGGAACACCGGUGGCGAAGGCGGCAUCCUGGACCGGUAUUGACGCUGAGGCGCGAAAGCCAGGGGAGCAAACGGG
Molecule: ribosomal RNA, 253 nt
Filed under: uncultured bacterium
Lineage: Bacteria
Description: partial 16S ribosomal RNA
Rfam family: Bacterial small subunit ribosomal RNA
Source: RNAcentral